This 253-nucleotide ribosomal RNA is filed under the name uncultured bacterium. RNAcentral describes it as "partial 16S ribosomal RNA". It matches the Rfam family "Bacterial small subunit ribosomal RNA", at positions 524 to 776 of the family's 1533-position model. The record is from RNAcentral.
AACGUAGGAGACAAACGUUAUCCGGAGUUACUGGGCGUAAAGGGCGUGUAGGCGGUUUGUUAAGUCUGGCGUGAAAGCUCUCGGCUAAACCGGGAGAGGUCGUUGGAUACUGGCAAACUAGAGUAUGGUAGAGGCGUGUGGAAUUCCGGGUGUAGUGGUGAAAUGCGUAGAGAUCCGGAGGAACACCAGUGGCGAAGGCGACACGCUGGGCCAUACCUGACGCUAAAGCGCGACAGCAUGGGGAGCAAACGGG